RNAcentral lists this non-coding RNA (21 nucleotides) under Caenorhabditis elegans. The record is from RNAcentral. Lineage: Eukaryota; Metazoa; Nematoda; Chromadorea; Rhabditida; Rhabditidae.
UCGAAUUAUCACGUGUAUUCA